GACGAACGCUGGCGGCGUGCUUAACACAUGCAAGUCGAACGGAAAGGCCCUGCUUUUGUGGGGUGCUCGAGUGGCGAACGGGUGAGUAACACGUGAGUAACCUGCCCUUGACUUUGGGAUAACUUCAGGAAACUGGGGCUAAUACCGGAUAGGAGCUCCUGCUGCAUGGUGGGGGUUGGAAAGUUUCGGCGGUUGGGGAUGUACUCGCGGCUUAUCAGCUUGUUGGUGGGGUAGUGGCUUACCAAGGCUUUGACGGGUAGCCGGCCUGAGAGGGUGACCGGCCACAUUGGGACUGAGAUACGGCCCAGACUCCUACGGGAGGAAGCAGUGGGGAAUAUUGCACACUGGGCGGAAGCCUGAUGCAGCAACGCCGCGUGCGGGAUGACGGCCUUAGGGUUGUAAACCGCUUUCGCCUGUGACGAAGCGUGAGUGACGGUAAUGGGUAAAGAAGCACCGGCUAACUACGUG
RNAcentral lists this ribosomal RNA (468 nucleotides) under uncultured bacterium. RNAcentral describes it as "partial 16S ribosomal RNA". It matches the Rfam family "Bacterial small subunit ribosomal RNA", at positions 28 to 507 of the family's 1533-position model. The record is from RNAcentral.